GAUGAACGCUGGCGGCGUGCCUAAUACAUGCAAGUCGAGCGAACGGACGAGAAGCUUGCUUUUCUGAUGUUAGCGGCGGACGGGUGAGUAACACGUGGAUAACCUACCUAUAAGACUGGGAUAACUUCGGGAAACCGGAGCUAAUACCGGAUAAUAUUUUGAACCGCAUGGUUCAAAAGUGAAAGACGGUCUUGCUGUCACUUAUAGAUGGAUCCGCGCUGCAUUAGCUAGUUGGUAGGGUAACGGCUUACCAAGGCAACGAUGCAUAGCCGACGUGAGAGAGGGGUCGGCCACACUGGAGCUGAGACGCGGUCCAGACUCCUACGGGAGGCAGCAGUAGGGAAUCGUACGCAGUGGGCGAAAGCCUGACGGAGCAACGCCGCGUGAGUGAUGAAGGUCUUCGGAUCGUAAAACUCUGUUAUGAGGGGAGAACAUAUGUGUAAGUAACUGUGCACAGCUUGACGGUACCUAGUCAGAAAGCCACGGCUAACUACGUG
This 497-nucleotide ribosomal RNA is filed under the name uncultured bacterium. RNAcentral's name for it is "partial 16S ribosomal RNA". It matches the Rfam family "Bacterial small subunit ribosomal RNA", at positions 28 to 507 of the family's 1533-position model. The record is from RNAcentral.